Molecule: ribosomal RNA, 496 nt
Filed under: uncultured bacterium
Lineage: Bacteria
Description: partial 16S ribosomal RNA
Rfam family: Bacterial small subunit ribosomal RNA
Source: RNAcentral
GACGAACGCUGGCGGCGUGCCUUAUACAUGCAAGUUGAACGCUUACGGUUUGUGCUUGUGCCUACUGGAUGAGCAGCUAACGGGUGAGUACCUCGUGGGGCAUCUGCCUUAGCUCGGGGGACAACCUUUUGAAACGACUGCUAAUACCGCAUAAAAACUUUAAACACACGUUUUCAGUUUGAAAUAUGCCCUUGCAUCACUCAAAGAUGAUUCCGCGUUGUAUUAGCUAGUUGGUGAGGUAAAGGCUCACCAAGGCGAUGAUACAUAGCCGACCUGAGAGGGUGAUCGGCCACAUUGGGACUGAGACACGGCCCAAACUCCUACGGGAGGCAGCAGUAGGGAAUCUUCGGCAAUGGACGAAAGUCUGACCGAGCAACGCCGCGUGAGUGAAGAAGGUUUUCGGAUCGUAAAACUCUGUUGGUAGAGAAGAACGGUGGUGAGAGUAGAAAGGGCAUUAAGGAACGGAAAUGACCAAGAAAGAGAGGGCUAAUUACGU